AUACGUAGGUGACAAGCGCUAUCCGGAUUUACUGGGCGUAAAGGGCGUGUAGGCGGUCUUGCAAGUCAGAAGUGAAAUUCCUGAGCUCAACUCGGGCGCUGCUUCUGAAACUGCAGGACUUGAGUGCUGGAGGGGAUAGCGGAAUUCCUGGUGGAGCGGUAAAAUGCGCAGAUAUUAGGAAGAACACCGGUGGCGAAGGCGGCUAUCUGGACAGUAACUGACGCUGAGGCGCGAAAGCGUGGGAGCAAGCAGGAUUAGAUACCCUGGUAGUCCACACUGUAAACGAUGAAUGCUAGGUGUAAGAGGUAUCGACCCCUUUUGUGCCGGAGUUAACACAAUAAGCAUUCCGCCUGGGGAGUACGGCCGCAAGGUUGAAACUCAAAUGAAUUGACGGGG
Molecule: ribosomal RNA, 396 nt
Filed under: uncultured bacterium
Lineage: Bacteria
Description: partial 16S ribosomal RNA
Rfam family: Bacterial small subunit ribosomal RNA
Source: RNAcentral